CGCGGCCUAUCAGCUUGUUGGUGAGGUAAUGGCUCACCAAGGCGAUGACGGGUAGCCGGCCUGAGAGGGCGACCGGCCACACUGGGACUGAGACACGGCCCAGACUCCUACGGGAGGCAGCAGUGGGGAAUAUUGCACAAUGGGCGAAAGCCUGAUGCAGCGACGCCGCGUGGGGGAUGACGGCCUUCGGGUUGUAAACCCCUUUCAGUAGGGAAGAAGCGAAAGUGACGGUACCUGCAGAAGAAGCGCCGGCUAACUACGUGCCAGCAGCCGCGGUAAUACGUAGGACGCAAGCGUUGUCCGGAAUUAUUGGGCGUAAAGAGUUCGUAGGUGGCUUGUCGCGUCUGCCGUGAAAACCCGAGGCUCAACCUCGGGCGUGCGGUGGGUACGGGCAGGCUAGAGUGCGGUAGGGGAGACUGGAACUCCUGGUGUAGCGGUGAAAUGCGCAGAUAUCAGGAAGAACACCGAUGGCGAAGGCAGGUCUCUGGGCCAUUACUGACACUGAGGAGCGAAAGCAUGGGUAGCGAACAGGAUUAGAUACCCUGGUAGUCCAUGCCGUAAACGUUGGGCACUAGGUGUGGGGGACAUUCCACGUUCUCCGCGCCGUAGCUAACGCAUUAAGUGCCCCGCCUGGGGAGUACGG
Molecule: ribosomal RNA, 643 nt
Filed under: uncultured bacterium
Lineage: Bacteria
Description: bacterial SSU rRNA
Rfam family: Bacterial small subunit ribosomal RNA
Source: RNAcentral